GUCUUCGUGGUGUAGUGGUCAGUACGCUCGACGUGUAACCGAGAGGUCCGUAGUUCGAUUCCCGGCGAAGACA
RNAcentral lists this transfer RNA (73 nucleotides) under Stegodyphus mimosarum. It matches the Rfam family "tRNA". Rfam says of the family: Transfer RNA (tRNA) molecules are approximately 80 nucleotides in length. Their secondary structure includes four short double-helical elements and three loops (D, anti-codon, and T loops). The record is from Rfam by way of RNAcentral. Lineage: Eukaryota; Metazoa; Arthropoda; Arachnida; Araneae; Eresidae.